Oxyura jamaicensis (ruddy duck) is the source of this 2897-nucleotide RNA transcript. It is a transcript of the gene named NOP2/Sun RNA methyltransferase family member 7, with no coding region annotated. The record is from RefSeq and is a predicted model, not a curated record. Lineage: Eukaryota; Metazoa; Chordata; Aves; Anseriformes; Anatidae. The transcript has 13 exons.
UGUUACAGGAGUCUGACAGCUUCCAUAAUACAGAUGUUUUCAGAAGAGAGAUGUUUACAUCCCUUUGCCCAGAGGCAGCAAGCCUGUGACUUGCACUUGCCCAAUCAACAACUGGAAGAAUGCCAGGUUCUAAAAGUAACUCGGUGUCUUUUCAUGAGGAUGUUACGAAUGAUACUUCACACUUGAGUGAAAUGAAAAUUUCGGAUGUAAAAGGAUCUGUUGAGAAAAGAACAAUGACUCUGAUUGGGAAGAAUGGCUGUCAUGACUCCGUCUACAUAAACGCUGCUAAGAUUUUUCAAGGCAUUUGUAAUAAAAAGCCUAAAGAUAAGAUGUUAGUGCUGUAUGGUGAUGACUCAGUAUCUCCUGUGCUAACUUUUAAAGAUGAGUAUUCCCAGCGUGUAUCCUAUGAACUUGCUUUCAAUGCUCUGAAAUAUCAAGAGCUUCUUGAAGAAAUACUGCUGGAUAGUUGUCUUUACCCAUGUCAGUCAAUACCAGAUGAAUUAACCAGCUUGCUUGUUGUGAUGCUCUAUGACUUCCAAGACCGAAAGUUUGAAGCACGAGAGAUUUUUGAUGAAGAGGAACCUUUAGCAGAAGUUAGGAAGAUAGAACAUUUUCUAUAUAGUUUUAGGAUCAAAUUGGCAGCUGCACUAGCAAGAUGUCGCAUCAAACAUGAUGCUCUUUCAAUUGAAUACAUUCUACCAGAAACCAUACGGAAGCAUGAACAAAGGGCUGCUGCCUUACCUUUAUGUGUCUGGAUAAAUACAUUUAAGACCAGCCUUCAAGAUGUCAUCAGAGAUUUGAAGAAUAAAGGAUUCACAAAAGUUGAAUCUGUGUCAGACUUCAAGGGUUACGCUUACUGUAUGGACCAGCAUUGCCAUGAUGUAUUGUUCUUCCCUUCCUCUCUUAAAGAAGAACUGCUUAAUUCAGAUCUUUUUGCAGAUUGCAAACUCUUACUACAGGAUAAGUCCCGCAGUCUUGCUGUACACUCUGUACAGGCGCUGCUGAAUACGGAUGGCGACGUUAUAGUGGCUCACGUAGGUUCCCAUCUGACCAUCGCUCAUAUGUCAGCGCUGAGAAAUCACAGCUUGUCCAGAGUUUUUGUCUGUGGUGUAAAAUCUUCAGCAAAAGCAGAUGAACUGAGGAACUUGUUCAAUCAUAUGGGAUGUGAAAAUAUUCAGUUGUUAUAUGAAGACUUUACUGAGAUUGGACCAACAGAUCCCAGACUUCAAAAUGCAAAAGUGAUUUUGUUGAUACCACAAUGCUCUGGACUGGGUUUUAGUAAUCCAAUAGAUUUUAUUUUAAGUGAACAUGGAGAUGCAGGAUUGCUAAGAGACCUUUUACAAGGAUCUGUGGCUAAGGAUAAACUCUGUAGUCUCGCUGAGCGGCAGCUUACCGAGUUGAUGCAUGCAAUGAAAUUUAAAGUACAAACUAUUGUUUACUGCACUUCUUCAAUUUACCCAGAAGAGAACGAACUAGUAGUGAAAAAAGCACUGGCAUCUGGUGUGGAAGGAAAUAAACUAAAACCAUUUAGGCUUAUUCCUCCUGUUUUUCCUACGUGCUCCAAUCCAGAGUCCUGCACUGACUUUUUUUUCAGAACAGAACUAUCAGAAAUUUCCAGUGCCUGUUUUCUAGCUAUUAUAGCAAGAGAGAAAGACUCUUCUGAAAAUGUGUCCGUUCAGGACAUUUUGGCUCGUGCUGCAGCUAAAGGGCUACUGAGCAGCACUGCAGAAAAAACAAAGGACGAUGAGAACAAGCAAUGGAAAACAGCACAACAUGGAAAUGGUGUUACUGGUAGUGGUACAGAGCCAAAGAGGGCCGAGUUCCCUCACCAUAAAGAUAUAUCUAAUAUUAAUGCUGCAGUUUCAGUAUCUAAAGCAGUAACUAAACUGAGAAAAAAGAAUGUCAACCAACCAGUCAGAUACGUUCAACCGAAGAAACCUAUCAGCCCAGCUGCAGGCACAGGUCUUCCUCGAGUGGUGCAACACACAGCUCAUUUGCCAUCUGUUGGCAAGGGGCAUGGAAGACAGAUGCUUGCCAGAAAGGCGCGUGUAGAACGCAAGAAGCUUGUGUUGAAGCCUGUGGAAAUUGUUUUGCCUCCAGUGAUAUCACCGUAUGUACGUCCCCAGCCUGGGAUGCCAGCUUCCAGUUCCUAUUUUGGCUGGACUGGAGCAAAGAGCUGGAGUGAGAGGGCGCUUCCACCGCCUCUGCCUAAAAGCGGUCAAACCAACCGUGCGAAGGAAUCGGCCGUGGCUGCAAGAGUCCUUAAACCUUCCCCCAGAUUUACAGAAAAGGUAAGGAUUCCUGAAUAUAUUCAUUCACACACUUACAUUACAGUUUAUCUUUAUUCAGGAUAAUCUUACUAUGGGAAACAUAUUAUGGGAUGUCUGCAUGGAAACAGCCAUGUUAAUCAUGUAAAAUCAGUAAUCACAUUUUGUACAGCACCUGGCCAAAUACAUGGCUUGCUUUCUAAUAUUUAUUCCUUCAGUUUUUACUCCCAUGUGCUUAAAAACUAUCAUUAAUGGAAACUAGAUAAAUAUUCUGAUACUAAAAAUAAUGAAUUAUCAUAAUAAUGUACUGUCAGACAUUGCCACCACUCAUCUGAGUUGAAAAGAGGCGUUACUGUCAAAGUAGGUUAUUUUUAUACAUAGUACCACUAAUCAUCUGAGUAAUGACUAAACAGAGUAGUUUGUCUUUCUUUAGAAAUUAGCUGUGGGAUUCUGACCUGCUCCCUGUUGCAAGCAAAUGCAGAGUAACUGGUAAAUACCUAUACUUGUUUUAUCGUCUGAGCACGGCAUAAAAGGGACGCACGCUUUUAAUAAGUGAUUUAUUGUUAAAUAUGGUUAAUAUCAGUAUGAAAAUGGCAAACUGACAGAAUGACUGUGAGAGGUAGCUUGGGG